GACGAACGCUGGCGGCGUGCCUAAUACAUGCAAGUCGAGCGCAAGGAAGCUUUUCUGAUCCCUUCGGGGUGAAGAAGAGUGGAAUGAGCGGCGGACGGGUGAGUAACACGUGGGCAACCUACCUGUAAGAUCGGGAUAACUCGCGGAAACGUGAGCUAAUACCGGAUAACACUUUUCACCUCAUGGUGAGAAGAUGAAGGGCGGCGCAAGCUGUCACUUACAGAUGGGCCCGCGGCGCAUUAGCUAGUUGGUGGGGUAAAGGCUCACCAAGGCAACGAUGCGUAGCCGACCUGAGAGGGUGAUCGGCCACACUGGGACUGAGACACGGCCCAGACUCCUACGGGAGGCAGCAGUAGGGAAUCUUGCGCAAUGGGCGAAAGCCUGACGCAGCGACGCCGCGUGAGGGAUGACGGCCUU
RNAcentral lists this ribosomal RNA (417 nucleotides) under uncultured bacterium. RNAcentral describes it as "bacterial SSU rRNA". It matches the Rfam family "Bacterial small subunit ribosomal RNA", at positions 28 to 418 of the family's 1533-position model. The record is from RNAcentral.